This is a non-coding RNA of Pseudomonas sp., 28 nucleotides long. The record is from Rfam. Lineage: Bacteria; Pseudomonadati; Pseudomonadota; Gammaproteobacteria; Pseudomonadales; Pseudomonadaceae.
CUUCACUGCCGCGUAGGCAGCUCAGAAA